Small nuclear RNA from Callithrix jacchus (white-tufted-ear marmoset), 97 nucleotides. The record is from Ensembl. NCBI's taxonomy places the organism in Eukaryota, Metazoa, Chordata, Mammalia, Primates, Cebidae.
UUGCUUCAGUAGUACAUAUACUAAAGUUGGAAUGGAGAGAUUGGCAUGGCCUCUGUGCAAGAAUGACACGCAAAUUUGUGAAGCGUUCCUUAUGUUU